CCUACGGGUGGCAGCAGUGAGGAAUAUUGGUCAAUGGCCGUAAGGCUGAACCAGCCAAGUAGCGUGAGGGAAGACUGCCCUAUGGGUUGUAAACCUCUUUUAUGCGGGGAUAAAGGUGUCCACGUGUGGAUGUUUGCAGGUACCGCAUGAAUAAGGACCGGCUAAUUCCGUGCCAGCAGCCGCGGUAAUACGGAAGGUCCGGGCGUUAUCCGGAUUUAUUGGGUUUAAGGGGAGCGUAGGCCGGUCUUUAAGCGUGCCGUAAAAUUUCGGGGCUCAACCCCGUCGUGCCGUUGAAACUGGCGUUCUUGAGUGAGCGAGAAGUAUGCGGAAUGCGGGGUGUAGCGGUGAAAUGCAUAGAUAUCACGCAGAACUCCGAUUGCGAAGGCAGCAUACCGGCGCUCAACUGACGCUCAUGCACGAAAGCGUGGGUAUCGAACAGGAUUAGAUACCCCUGUAGUC
RNAcentral lists this ribosomal RNA (459 nucleotides) under uncultured bacterium. RNAcentral's name for it is "partial 16S ribosomal RNA". It matches the Rfam family "Bacterial small subunit ribosomal RNA", at positions 338 to 795 of the family's 1533-position model. The record is from RNAcentral.